RNAcentral lists this ribosomal RNA (700 nucleotides) under uncultured Escherichia sp. RNAcentral describes it as "bacterial SSU rRNA". It matches the Rfam family "Bacterial small subunit ribosomal RNA", at positions 28 to 717 of the family's 1533-position model. The record is from RNAcentral. Lineage: Bacteria; Pseudomonadati; Pseudomonadota; Gammaproteobacteria; Enterobacterales; Enterobacteriaceae.
AUUGAACGCUGGCGGCAGGCCUAACACAUGCAAGUCGAACGGUAACAGGAAACAGCUUGCUGUUUCGCUGACGAGUGGCGGACGGGUGAGUAAUGUCUGGGAAACUGCCUGAUGGAGGGGGAUAACUACUGGAAACGGUAGCUAAUACCGCAUAACGUCGCAAGACCAAAGAGGGGGACCUUCGGGCCUCUUGCCAUCGGAUGUGCCCAGAUGGGAUUAGCUUGUUGGUGGGGUAACGGCCCACCAAGGCGACGAUCCCUAGCUGGUCUGAGAGGAUGACCAGCCACACUGGAACUGAGACACGGUCCAGACUCCUACGGGAGGCAGCAGUGGGGAAUAUUGCACAAUGGGCGCAAGCCUGAUGCAGCCAUGCCGCGUGUAUGAAGAAGGCCUUCGGGUUGUAAAGUACUUUCAGCGGGGAGGAAGGGAGUAAAGUUAAUACCUUUGCUCAUUGACGUUACCCGCAGAAGAAGCACCGGCUAACUCCGUGCCAGCAGCCGCGGUAAUACGGAGGGUGCAAGCGUUAAUCGGAAUUACUGGGCGUAAAGCGCACGCAGGCGGUUUGUUAAGUCAGAUGUGAAAUCCCCGGGCUCAACCUGGGAACUGCAUCUGAUACUGGCAAGCUUGAGUCUCGUAGAGGGGGGUAGAAUUCCAGGUGUAGCGGUGAAAUGCGUAGAGAUCUGGAGGAAUACCGGUGGCG